RNAcentral lists this ribosomal RNA (254 nucleotides) under uncultured bacterium. RNAcentral's name for it is "partial 16S ribosomal RNA". It matches the Rfam family "Bacterial small subunit ribosomal RNA", at positions 524 to 776 of the family's 1533-position model. The record is from RNAcentral.
UACAGAGGUCCCGAGCGUUGUUCGGAUUCACUGGGCGUAAAGGGUGCGUAGGUGGGUGGGGUAAGUCGGAUGUGAAAGCUCGGAGCUCAACUCCGAAAUGGCAUUGGAAACUACCCUGCUGGAGGUUUGGAGGGGGGACUGGAAUACUUGGUGUAGCAGUGAAAUGCGUAGAUAUCAAGUGGAACACCAGUGGCGAAGGCGAGUCCCUGGACAAAACCUGACACUGAGGCACGAAAGCUAGGGGAGCAAACAGG